UACAAAGUUUUCUAGGGUUCCGCAGGGAGGUUUUCAACUCUGGCUGGUCCAAGAGAAGACGCACAGCUAACCCCUGUGUCCACGGAGGGAUAAAAGCCCGGGAGAU
RNAcentral lists this small RNA (106 nucleotides) under Paenibacillus pectinilyticus. RNAcentral's name for it is "Guanidine-I sequence". It matches the Rfam family "Guanidine-I riboswitch aptamer". Rfam says of the family: This family represents a conserved RNA structure found upstream of the ykkC and yxkD genes in Bacillus subtilis and related genes in other bacteria. Lineage: Bacteria; Bacillati; Bacillota; Bacilli; Caryophanales; Paenibacillaceae. The record is from Rfam by way of RNAcentral.